This 253-nucleotide ribosomal RNA is filed under the name uncultured bacterium. RNAcentral describes it as "partial 16S ribosomal RNA". It matches the Rfam family "Bacterial small subunit ribosomal RNA", at positions 524 to 776 of the family's 1533-position model. The record is from RNAcentral.
UACGGAGGGUGCGAGCGUUGUCCGGAAUCACUGGGCGUAAAGGGCGCGUAGGCGGCGCGAGUAGUCAACGGUGAAAGCCCGGGGCUCAACCCCGGGUCGGCCGUCGAUACUCUCGUGCUUGAGCACUGUAGAGGCAGGUGGAAUUCCGGGUGUAGCGGUGGAAUGCGUAGAGAUCCGGAAGAACACCGGUGGCGAAGGCGGCCUGCUGGGCAGUAGCUGACGCUGAGGCGCGAAAGCGUGGGGAGCAAACAGG